AGGGAGCUUGCUCCCGGAUGUUAGCGGCGGACGGGUGAGUAACACGUGGGUAACCUGCCUGUAAGACUGGGAUAACUCCGGGAAACCGGAGCUAAUACCGGAUAGUUCCUUGAACCGCAUGGUUCAAGGAUGAAAGACGGUUUCGGCUGUCACUUACAGAUGGACCCGCGGCGCAUUAGCUAGUUGGUGGGGUAAUGGCUCACCAAGGCGACGAUGCGUAGCCGACCUGAGAGGGUGAUCGGCCACACUGGGACUGAGACACGGCCCAGACUCCUACGGGAGGCAGCAGUAGGGAAUCUUCCGCAAUGGACGAAAGUCUGACGGAGCAACGCCGCGUGAGUGAUGAAGGUUUUCGGAUCGUAAAGCUCUGUUGUUAGGGAAGAACAAGUGCGAGAGUAACUGCUCGCACCUUGACGGUACCUAACCAGAAAGCCACGGCUAACUACGUGCCAGCAGCCGCGGUAAUACGUAGGUGGCAAGCGUUGUCCGGAAUUAUUGGGCGUAAAGGGCUCGCAGGCGGUUUCUUAAGUCUGAUGUGAAAGCCCCCGGCUCAACCGGGGAGGGUCAUUGGAAACUGGGAAACUUGAGUGCAGAAGAGGAGAGUGGAAUUCCACGUGUAGCGGUGAAAUGCGUAGAGAUGUGGAGGAACACCAGUGGCGAAGGCGACUCUCUGGUCUGUAACUGACGCUGAGGAGCGAAAGCGUGGGGAGCGAACAGGAUUAGAUACCCUGGUAGUCCACGCCGUAAACGAUGAGUGCUAAGUGUUAGG
This 769-nucleotide ribosomal RNA is filed under the name Bacillus pumilus. RNAcentral describes it as "bacterial SSU rRNA". It matches the Rfam family "Bacterial small subunit ribosomal RNA", at positions 73 to 827 of the family's 1533-position model. The record is from RNAcentral. Lineage: Bacteria; Bacillati; Bacillota; Bacilli; Caryophanales; Bacillaceae.